UACAGGUCCUCUGAUCUCCCUUAAUAAAUUCAGAAUAUUUUAUCAGUAGCAAUAGUUAGGAAUUUGAGUUCGACCAACUCAUUCUAUAUUCUCUCCUGAGCAUCACUUCUUCGCUGUUGUCGUUUUUUUUUUUUUUUUUACUUAAUGUCUCUAAUUGUAGAUGUGAGAGAUCUUUGUUUCUCAAAAGGAGAAAAGAUGGGCAAAAGCUAAACUUAACUUGAAGGCUAUCCAGGAGUCACAUGCUAUAAUCCACAGUGUGAAUGUUGGAGUUGAAGAGUUCAUCGCAGGGCCUUGAGCAAUGAAUCAUUCGUAGGUUGGAGAAAAUAAUCCAUACAUUUUGCACAUUAAGGAGUUAACUUAAAAUUUGAUGGCCAAUUCACGAAGCUGCAGGAAGAUAACAGGCUUCUGGAUAAUAGCCAGAUUACUUUCCCCAAAGAAAGCCCUUAAGUCUUGGAUAUGUUGUCAGGCCUGGGUCUCACAGGCAACUGGAGAUCUUUUCAGAUGGCUCCAUUGUUGAGGUUACCAUUUUCUUAAUCCCUAUCUUUUGGGUUGUAAUUUUGCUUUUAUGAUAUUUAUUAAUAAAAUAUUGUAUACUU
Long non-coding RNA from Pantherophis guttatus, 596 nucleotides. RefSeq lists it as uncharacterized. The record is from RefSeq and is a predicted model, not a curated record. NCBI's taxonomy places the organism in Eukaryota, Metazoa, Chordata, Lepidosauria, Squamata, Colubridae.